RNAcentral lists this unclassified non-coding RNA (240 nucleotides) under soil metagenome. RNAcentral's name for it is "partial contains 5.8S ribosomal RNA, internal transcribed spacer 2, and large subunit ribosomal RNA". The record is from RNAcentral.
AACCAUAGAAACCUGCGGAGUACCUGCGGAGGGAUCAUUAUAGUAUAUGGAAUCUCCAUUCUAUAAACCCACUCUGCGUAUCUUGUAACUGUUGCUUCCAUGGGACUUGGUUCCGCCACACCGGCUUCACGGCUGGUGAGCGCCCAUGGAAGGAGAGACAAAACUCUUCUUUGAAAUGUAGUCAGUCUGAACAAGUUUUUAUAAACGUUAAAACUUUCAGCAAUGGAUCUCAGAUCGGAA